This 253-nucleotide ribosomal RNA is filed under the name uncultured bacterium. RNAcentral describes it as "partial 16S ribosomal RNA". It matches the Rfam family "Bacterial small subunit ribosomal RNA", at positions 524 to 776 of the family's 1533-position model. The record is from RNAcentral.
UACGUGGGCAGCGAGCGUUGUUCGGAAUUACUGGGCGUAAAGAGUGUGUAGGCGGUGCUCCCAGUCUGUUGUGAAAUCUCCCGGCUUAACUGGGAGGGUGCAGCGGAAACUAGAGUGCUAGAGGGUGGGAGAGGUAAGCGGAAUUCCUGGUGUAGCGGUGAAAUGCGUAGAUAUCAGGAGGAACACCUGUGGUGUAGACAGCUUACUGGACCACUUCUGACGCUGAGACACGAAAGCGUGGGUAGCAAACAGG